Molecule: small nuclear RNA, 106 nt
Organism: Microtus oregoni (creeping vole)
Lineage: Eukaryota; Metazoa; Chordata; Mammalia; Rodentia; Cricetidae
Source: RefSeq, a predicted model, not a curated record
UUGCUUCUGUAGCACACAAAGUAAAAUUGGAAAAAGCGAACAGAAAAGAUUGACUUGGUCACUGUGCAAGGAUAGCAUACAAAUUUCUUAAGCAUUUAAUAUUUUU